This 1445-nucleotide ribosomal RNA is filed under the name uncultured prokaryote. Its description in RNAcentral is "partial 16S ribosomal RNA". It matches the Rfam family "Bacterial small subunit ribosomal RNA". The record is from RNAcentral.
GCUCAGAUUGAACGCUGGCGGCAUGGCUAAAACAUGCAAGUCGAACGCGAAAGGGGCUUCGGCCCUGAUUAGAGUGGCGAACGGGCGAGGAAUGCGUUCCUUACGUACCCCCUGGUCGGGGAUAGCCCGGGGAAACCCGGAGUAAUACCCGAUGACCCCGGCGCGCCGCAUGGUCGGCCGGUCAAAGGCUUGCCGCCUCGGGAGCGGGGAACGUCUUAUCAGGUUGUUGGUGAGGUAACGGCUCACCAAGCCGAAGACGGGUAGCGGGUGUGAGAGCAUGACCCGCCGCAUCGGGACUGAGAAACUGCCCGGACUCCUACGGGAGGCUGCAGUAACGAAUCUUCCGCAAUGCGCGAAAGCGUGACGGAGCAAUGCCGCGUGCAGGAUGAAGCCCCUCGGGGUGUAAACUGCUGUCAGGGUUCAGGAAUUUUGACCAGACCCAAAGGAAGGGCCGGCUAACUUCGUGCCAGCAGCCGCGGUAACACGAAGGGCCCAAGCGUUGCGCAGAUUCACUGGGCUUAAAGGGUGCGUAGGCGGACCUGCAAGUGCUUUGUGAAAUCCCACGGCUCAACCGUGGAAUGGCUUGGCAGACUGCAGGUCUUGAGGUCGGUAGGGGUCACCGGAACGCUAGGUGGAGCGGUGAAAUGCGUAGAUAUCUAGCGGAACGCCGAAGGUGAAGACAGGUGACUGGGCCGAUUCUGACGCUGAGGCACGAAAGCGUGGGGAGCAAACGGGAUUAGAUACCCCGGUAGUCCACGCCCUAAACGAUGUGCACUAGAUCCCGGGAGUUCUGACACUUUCGGGGUUGCAGCUAAAGCAUUAAGUGCACCGCCUGGGGAGUACGGUCGCAAGGCUAAAACUCAAAGGAAUUGACGGGGGCUCACACAAGCGGUGGAGCAUGUGGCUUAAUUCGAAGCAACGCGAAGAACCUUAUCCUGGGUUGAACUACGACGGAUUAGCUGCUGGAAACAGUAGUGACGCGCUUGCGUGGAACGUCGAUAGGUGCUGCAUGGCUGUCGUCAGCUCGUGCUGUGAAGUGUCGCGUUAAGUCGCUUAACGAGCGAAACCCCUAUCGCUAGUUGCCAACGGGUCAUGCCGGGGACUCUAGCGAGACUGCCGGCGUUAAGCCGGAGGAAGGUGGGGACGACGUCAAGUCCUCAUGGCCUUUAUGCCCAGGGCUGCACACGUGCUACAAUGCCGACUACAGAGCGACGCGAUACCGCAAGGUGGAGCAAAUCGCAAAAAAGUCGGCCCAGUUCGGAUUGUGGUCUGCAACUCGACCACAUGAAGUUGGAAUCGCUAGUAAUCGCGUAUCAGCUACGACGCGGUGAAUACGUUCCUGGAGCACUUGUACACACCGCCCGUCAAGUCAUGGAAGCCGGGAGCACCCGAAGUCGCACCAACUCAGGUGUGCCGACGGUGAGCUCGGUGACUGGGACUAAGUC